UACACACUGGUCGAUAUAUCGGCCGUUCUCUUGAACGGCCGAUAUAUCGCGGGACCGUCGGCUAGUGUAUACGGCCGAUACGUCUGUGAACUCCGUCGUUCACAGACGUAUCACGUCGGCCAUGCAGCACAGCCGACGGCCAAUAUAUCUACCGAUAUAUUGGCGCGUCGCUGUGUGUGUACGGGGCGGUCGGCCGACCACCCGUACACAUGCUGCGGCGGCUGGCGGUGAUUGACAGCUGAACUGGGCGGGUGUGUGUACACGCCCGCUCAGUUCAUGACGUCAGUCCCCGACGGAUUGGGCAGUGUGUAUGCUGAACACACUGCCCGAUCCGUCCAUAGAUAUAUCUGCAGAUCAAUUGAACUGCUGAUAUAUCUAUUAGUGAGUACCCACCUUUAGAUGGACACAGAGCAGCAACUUGGAGCAGAGGCAGCUGCUGGUAUGUGACAGGAGUGCUGUACAGCUUAUGAAAAGGCAGAUUCUAUUCCUGGUGACCGGAGAUCUUCAUUGUAGCAGCCAAUCAGUAAUAUCAGCCUCCUGUGGGGAUCCCACUGCUUCCACUGUUGUUGGCUGACAGGUAUCUGACAGAGAAAAACAGUGAUGGGCUCUACUGACUGUGUAGCUGGAAACUAGGCCACGCAGCCUAUCCUCCCUUUUGAAGGACAGCCCUGGAGGUAACCCUUCUUUGGAGUAGCUGAUGGUGGGAGGAGCAGAGACAGUGUGUUGCUGCAGCUGCAGACAGAGGCAGACAUCACUCAAAUCAAUCACCUGAUGAAUGUCUGACUGACUGCUGAGGUACAGAGAUAACAGGAUACUUCGCCUUCCUUCCCUUCAUAACUACCUGUAGACUGCUACUAUGAAGGUUUUGGGAAAGAGAUUAAAUUGAAAUUGCUAGAAACACUUUUAAAAGCUCAAUACAUGCCGUGCUGCACUGCAAUCAUAAAUUUAAGCACUGGGAGUCAAUGUGGAUCACAAUCAGUUGAUAGAAGAGCAGGAGCAGCAACCAAGUAAUAGUGGAAGACCUAAAACCAAAACAUGAAGUUAAUAAGGAUCCAGAACCAAAACACGGAGUGCGGACCCUGCUCUCCCGUCCCCAUGCAGGGGCAUAGCGGCUGACCGAGAAGACAUCACUCCGGGCUCUCUCUGCUGUCAUCAUCACAGUGGGGUCGAAGGUGAUACUUAAUUAUGAAAUGACAAUAUUACAAGCUACUGGACUUUUGUGAAGUGCAAAGUUUCUAUGAUCUGUGUAGACAUUGAGGGGAGAAGGGAUGCAUCAAGAAUAUUUCUCCACUUUUGCGAGCCAGGUUUCAUGACUAGUAGUUCUCUGCACCACUAAAGAAGACGAACUUGUGGAAGAAGUAAACACCCUUGUGGUUCUAACCUCUGCCAGCUUGGUCAGUUACAUUAAGUAAUAAGCAUCUUUUUAUAUAGAACCAUGUUUAUAGUACAACACAAUAUUAUUACAGUUUUUCUAACUGUUUUGCUGUUUGACAAAAGGUUACUCAUAUUCUUUCUUUUACAUCUCCCAUUCCCUUGCCUGAAUGGAUUGUAUGCCUGUCAGCUAACUGGCUUGAAAUUCCCUGCCAGGUGGACAGCUUUGAUGGCUAAGAGGUGGCGUUAUGCCCAGUAAAGCAGCUUUCAAGCCUCGAGCCAUGAGGAUGAGCUCUCAGUCCUUCUUAUGCUCCAGCCUAGUUUAAUAUGUUAACAGCACAUACCAUGAAAUAUUGCAUUUUUUUACAUGGAAAGUUUUCAAUAUCAAACUAUUUUCUGAGCUUCAGUAUUACAAUAGGGAUGUUUAGUGAGCUAUUUUAUUCAUGUCUUAACUACAGCAGUCAAAAUGCAAUUGUCUUAUUAUUUGAUUUUGGUUAGAUUUCCACACCACUAAUUUAUCAUGAUUUUUAUUAUAUCUCCUUUUUGACAGCUGUCACUGGCAUGUUUAUUUAUAAAGGCAGGGUAGCAGACGAGCAGUCCCCUCUGAGGCCAAUGUCAAUGUUAAUCUGAGAUCAGGCAACCCUAUACACAAUCAGACAAUGUAUUUACUUUUACAUAGCUUUUGCAUUUGUUAUGAAUGUAUACUAGCAGGAAAAGUGGUAUUUAAAUUAAAACAAAAAACAUACAAAUAUUUUUUUUUACAAAAAUAUAUGUGGUAAAU
Long non-coding RNA from Pseudophryne corroboree (corroboree frog), 2152 nucleotides. RefSeq lists it as uncharacterized. The record is from RefSeq and is a predicted model, not a curated record. The transcript has 5 exons. Lineage: Eukaryota; Metazoa; Chordata; Amphibia; Anura; Myobatrachidae.